This 197-nucleotide ribosomal RNA is filed under the name uncultured bacterium. RNAcentral's name for it is "partial 16S ribosomal RNA". It matches the Rfam family "Bacterial small subunit ribosomal RNA", at positions 328 to 539 of the family's 1533-position model. The record is from RNAcentral.
ACGUUCGACACCUACGGGAGGCAGCAGUGGGGAAUAUUGCACAAUGGGGGAAACCCUGAUGCAGCGACGCCGCGUGGAGGAAGAAGGUCUUCGGAUUGUAAACUCCUGUUGUUGGGGAAAAANGGAUGGUACCCAACAAGGAAGUGACGGCUAACUACGUGCCAGUAGCCGCGGUAAUCUGAGCGGGCUGGCAAGGC